RNAcentral lists this long non-coding RNA (1722 nucleotides) under Homo sapiens (human). RNAcentral's name for it is "HSALNT0348630". Lineage: Eukaryota; Metazoa; Chordata; Mammalia; Primates; Hominidae. The record is from RNAcentral.
UAUUGGCAUAAUGGGUUGUCUUUCUUAUUACCAAAGUGAUUUUAAUAUUAUUAUAAUAAGGAAAGAUUUAAACAAUUGAUGAAACCAUAUAACACAUUGCAAACAGGAAUGACUUUUGUAUUUUAGGGGUUUAUUUGUGUUUGCCUUUAUUAGUGUGUUAUAUGGAUACUAUAUUUCUCAAUUUUUUCUUCUAUAAUGUAACUUGUCACUGAUAACCACCUCUGCUGACAGCAAUGAGCAAUAAAGGGUGUGGAGAUUCAGAAUGAUUCAGCUUUGAUGACCUGAGAUAUUUCAAGUUCAUUCCUGUUUCUUUUUUUUUUUUUAUUGCUUGUUGGUUUUUUUCACCCAACACAAGCUACCUUAUUAUCUAUGCUAUGUAACUUUUUUUUCUUGAAACUAUCCCAGGCAAAAACUGAUAGUGAAAAAUUGUAAGUAACCUUAUAUUAUAGCCCACAAGAGGAAAAUUGGUAAGUAAAUUAUCAUGCUAUAUCCGUUAGGAUGUUUUCUACUGCACAGAACAGAAAACCCACCUCAAAGGGGCUUAAAUAAUAGGAGAUAUUUUCUCACAUAACAAGAAGUCUCCAAGUAGGGUUCAGGGAUGUGUAAUUAAUUGGAGUGUCACAAUCAACUAGGAUCAAUUCUUCCUACUUUUCUGUUCUUCCAUCUUUAGUGUGUAUACUGGACUUCCUUUAUGGCCACAAAAUGGCUGCAACAGCACCAAGCACUAGCUCCACUGCUCCCUCCUUACACACAUUCCAUAGGCAGAAAAAGGGAUUAUCUCUUCCUUGUAUCACUUUUAAGGAACUAAGAAUCUGUUUCACAAAUCUAACCUGUAGAUUUGCCCUUAUAUCUUAUUGGUCAGAAGUAUGUCACUUGUCCCUUCCUUGGCCAAUCACUGAUAAGGGGAAUAGAAUUGUACCAUGAUUGGCUUAAACUAAAUUAAAAAAUCACCUUUUAUGAGUGGAAAUGGAGUUAGCCUUUAAGCCUGAAGCCCUUGACCACCUGAAGAAACCUGAGUUCUGUUAGCAGGAAAGAAAGGAGAACUGGCUAUUGUUAAUACUAGGCAGAUGUUUAAAAUGAAGUUUCCAUUAAAUACCUUGUGUUAGGAGAUGUUGGUAUUAGACAGUAUUAUCUCAACUAUAUAAAAAGACAGAGACACUAUUAUCUCAAAUAUAUAAAACAAACAAAACCUUUAAAAAACUAAGCAGAAACAAAGACUAGCAGAAAAUAUACCAAAAUGUUAACAGCAGCUUCAUGAGUGACAAACUAAGGGUACACUUUUCUUCUCCUUUUUAAAUUUUUAAACUCUUCCACAAUGAGCACAUGUUACUUUUAUGAGCAUUCAGAGCUCCUUUUCCUAUCUUUUCUCUUCUCUAGGUUUCUUUAUCCUGGUUCCAUAUUUUCACUCUUUUUAGAGCUUCGACAAUUCUAACCCAGGGUUCCUCAUGUGUGAACAUUACAAUUACCCAAGAUGGCCUCAAAGAACAUUCAGGGAAAUCAUUUUCCAAACCAUAACUGUUCUAUUCAGAGCUUUGAAGACAGAUAUCAGGUCUUCAGAACCAAUGAAGAAGAAACCAUUACUUAUCAAAGAAGGUGAGGUACAAAGCUGAUGGGUCACAGGAUUGCUAGUCAGAACAGCUAGCACAUUUUUAAAUUUGUAAUCUUUAUUAUGUUUCAAGAAUAGCAAUGUCUUUGAAUGGAAGGAACUUCAGAAAUGUCUUU